AGUUCGGAUUGGAGUCUGNAACCCGACUCCAUGAAGCUGGAUUCGCUAGUAAUCGCGCAUCAGCCACGGCGCGGUGAAUACGUUCCCGGGCCUUGUACACACCGCCCGUCAAGCCAUGGAAGCCGGGAGUGCCUGAAGUGCGUGAGCGCAAGCAGCGCCCUAAGGUAAAACCGGUGACUGGGGCUAAGUCGUAACAAGGUAUC
Molecule: ribosomal RNA, 203 nt
Filed under: uncultured bacterium
Lineage: Bacteria
Description: partial 16S ribosomal RNA
Rfam family: Bacterial small subunit ribosomal RNA
Source: RNAcentral